UAGGGAAGAAAUCUGGAAGAGCGUAUAAAGAAAUAGAAGCACGAGUGUAUCGGGAGAAUGAUCUAAGCAAAGGUGGUUGCUUGAAGGCAGAAGGAAAAGUAAUUGCUACACAACGUGCCAGGAAUAAUAAAAGAGAGAGUAAUAUGAAUUGUAGAGUAGAGACAUUUGGGAAGGUUGUGAAGGGAUUUGAUGAGAGGAAGCGAAAGCUAGUGAUGGAGAUGGGCUUUGGAGGUCUUUUGUUUUUCGCUGGUAAAAGUUUGCCUAGGACCUUUUGUUAUUGGCUGUGUACAAGGGUUGAUGUUAAGAAUAGGGUGUUGUUGAUGCCCGAUGGGCUUGAAUUCCCUCUUAGUAAGACACAGGUUUAUUGGGUUAUGGGUAUUCCGGCGGGGCCGAAGAGUGUACCAUUCUACGGUGA
This is a long non-coding RNA of Beta vulgaris subsp. vulgaris (sugar beet), 415 nucleotides long. RefSeq lists it as uncharacterized. The record is from RefSeq and is a predicted model, not a curated record. Lineage: Eukaryota; Viridiplantae; Streptophyta; Magnoliopsida; Caryophyllales; Amaranthaceae. The transcript has 3 exons.